RNAcentral lists this ribosomal RNA (413 nucleotides) under uncultured bacterium. RNAcentral describes it as "bacterial SSU rRNA". It matches the Rfam family "Bacterial small subunit ribosomal RNA", at positions 28 to 494 of the family's 1533-position model. The record is from RNAcentral.
GAUUAACGUUGGCAGUGCGCCUAACACAUGCAAGUCGAGCGAUAUAGCGGCAGACGAGAGAGUAAUAGUAAGGAACUUACCCCCGAGUGAAGGAUAGCCAGCCGAAAGGUUGGGUAAUCCUGCAUAAUAUCGAAAGAUCAAAGCCUUCGGGCGCUUGGGGAGAGGCCUUACUCCUAUCAGCUUGUUGGUGAGGUAAUGGCUCACCAAGGUGAUGACGGGUAGCUGGUCUGAGAGGAUGAUCAGCCUCGAUGGGACUGAGACACGGCCCAUACUCCUACGGGAGGCAGCAGUUGGGGAUUUUGCACAAUGGAGGAAACUCUGAUGCAGCGACACUGCGUGAAGGAUGAAGGUUCUAGGAUCGUAAACUUCUUUUAUCAGGGAGUAAUCUUGAAAGUACCUGAUGAAUAAGGACC